Molecule: non-coding RNA, 72 nt
Organism: Phrynosoma platyrhinos (Desert horned lizard)
Lineage: Eukaryota; Metazoa; Chordata; Lepidosauria; Squamata; Phrynosomatidae
Source: the annotation of a GenBank genome assembly
GGGACGGUGGCUUAGUGGCGAAGCGCGUGCUUCACAUGCAGAAGGUCACCGGUUCAAUCCCUGCCAUUUUCA